AAAAAGACAAACUCUGAUUUCCGUGUUCAACGUUUGACCGUCCGUCUUAUUUAAAAAAAUUAAAAAGACAAGUCACGCAUAAAAUAUUAAUCAUGUUUUAUCAUCUAACAACAAUGAAAAUACGAAUUAUAAAAAUAUUUUAUAUAAGAUGGACAGUUAAAGUUGGACACGAAAACUAAGAGUUUGCCUUUUA
RNAcentral lists this microRNA precursor (193 nucleotides) under Oryza nivara. RNAcentral's name for it is "MIR812 microRNA precursor family". It matches the Rfam family "MIR812 microRNA precursor family". Lineage: Eukaryota; Viridiplantae; Streptophyta; Magnoliopsida; Poales; Poaceae. The record is from Rfam by way of RNAcentral.